This 253-nucleotide ribosomal RNA is filed under the name uncultured bacterium. RNAcentral describes it as "partial 16S ribosomal RNA". It matches the Rfam family "Bacterial small subunit ribosomal RNA", at positions 524 to 776 of the family's 1533-position model. The record is from RNAcentral.
UACAGAGGGGGCAAGCGUUAUUCGGAAUUAUUGGGCGUAAAGGGCGCGUAGGCGACUUCGCAAGUGACGGGUGAAAUCCCUCGGCUUAACCGAGGAACUGCCUGUCAAACUGCGUGGCUUGAGACCAGGAGAGGUGAGUGGAAUUCCCAGUGUAGCGGUGAAAUGCGUAGAUAUUGGGAGGAACACCAGUGGCGAAGGCGGCUCACUGGACUGGUACUGACGCUGAGGCGCGAAAGCGUGGGGAGCAAACAGG